AACGAACGCUGGCGGCGCGCCUAAUACAUGCAAGUCGAGCGAGAAGACGUAGCAAUACGUUUGUAAAGCGGCGAACGGGUGAGGAAUACAUGGGUAACCUACCCUCGAGUGAGGAAUAACUAGCCGAAAGGUUAGCUAAUACCGCGUACGCUCCUUGGACUUCGGUUCAGGGAGGAAAGCGAUACCGUGGGUAUCGCGCUCUUGGAUGGGCUCAUGUCCUAUCAGCUUGUUGGUGAGGUAACGGCUCACCAAGGCUUCGACGGGUAGCUGGUCUGAGAGGACGAUCAGCCACACUGGCACUGCGACACGGCCCCGACUCCGUACGGAGGCAGCAGUGGGGAAGUUUCCGUCAAUGGGCGAAGCCUGACGGAGUGACGCCGCGUGUGGGACGAAGGCCUC
Molecule: ribosomal RNA, 399 nt
Filed under: uncultured bacterium
Lineage: Bacteria
Description: bacterial SSU rRNA
Rfam family: Bacterial small subunit ribosomal RNA
Source: RNAcentral